This 670-nucleotide ribosomal RNA is filed under the name uncultured bacterium. RNAcentral describes it as "bacterial SSU rRNA". It matches the Rfam family "Bacterial small subunit ribosomal RNA", at positions 835 to 1504 of the family's 1533-position model. The record is from RNAcentral.
ACCAUUUAGUACCGGAGCUAACGCGUGAAGUUGACCGCCUGGGGAGUACGGCCGCAAGGUUAAAACUCAAAGGAAUUGACGGGGACCCGCACAAGCGGUGGAUGAUGUGGAUUAAUUCGAUGCAACGCGAAAAACCUUACCUACCCUUGACAUGUUCAGAAGCCUGAAGAGAUUUGGGUGUGCCCGAAAGGGAACUGGAACACAGGUGCUGCAUGGCUGUCGUCAGCUCGUGUCGUGAGAUGUUGGGUUAAGUCCCGCAACGAGCGCAACCCUUGUCGUUAAUUGCCAUCAUUUAGUUGGGCACUUUAACGAGACUGCCGGUGACAAACCGGAGGAAGGUGGGGAUGACGUCAAGUCCUCAUGGCCCUUAUGGGUAGGGCUUCACACGUCAUACAAUGGUCGGUACAGAGGGUUGCCAAGCCGCGAGGUGGAGCCAAUCCCAGAAAGCCGAUCGUAGUCCGGAUUGCAGGCUGCAACUCGCCUGCAUGAAGUCGGAAUCGCUAGUAAUCGCGGAUCAGCAUGUCGCGGUGAAUACGUUCCCGGGUCUUGUACACACCGCCCGUCACACCAUGGGAGCGGGUUCCGCCAGAAGUAGGUAGCCUAACCGCAAGGGGGGCGCUUACCACGGCGGGGUUCGUGACUGGGGUGAAGUCGUUCCAAGGUAACCGUA